Nicotiana attenuata is the source of this 444-nucleotide long non-coding RNA. RefSeq lists it as uncharacterized. The transcript has 2 exons. Lineage: Eukaryota; Viridiplantae; Streptophyta; Magnoliopsida; Solanales; Solanaceae. The record is from RefSeq and is a predicted model, not a curated record.
UUUGUCAUUCUUACUCCUUUUAUUGCUAUUCAUCAAAUCUAUUUCAUCUCUCUUUCUUCCGUUUUCUUUAUGCUCAUUAUUACUCUAUUUACUCCCUUUCUUCAAAUUCAUCUUUUCCUUACUUCUCUUCCGUUUUCUCCCCCUCAUUAUUACUGCAUUUAUUUCUUUUCCUCAAAUCCCUGUAUCCAUUUUCUUAGAAUAUUUUUUUAUUUGGCUUUAUAAAAUCCAAAGCCCUAAGGGCAGGCAUAAGACUGAGAAGAAACCAGUGUUGGGAAACCCUCCGAUGAUAAAACUAUGGCGGAGAAAAAGCCAAAGGCUUGAAGAUGCAUCUCAAAGAUUAUUUUUUGAAAACCUUCCACUGGCAGGCGAUCGUGUUUUUCACAUGACUCCCAAGAGCUCUUAUCGACGGAGUCGUUUGGCACCUCGAUGUCGACUCAUCACAUC